UCUUAUUUCUUAGUUUUUUCUUCUUCUUUUGUUCAAUGGUCGAAAGACUCUUAUAUUACAACUCUUUCGUGGGAUUGUAGACUUCAAGUCAAAGCUUACACAAGUUUGAUUAAUAGGGAAUUAGUUCGUUUGGCAAAAGAACAUUCAAUGUUUUUUCUUUGUUAAAGAUUGAAACUAGAAAUAUUAACUAUUGCUUGCAAAUUACUCAUCUCAAUUUUAUAACAAGGAAAAAGUAAUUAGGAAGAGAUAAAAUGAAAAGAGAAUACAGUACAAUCGUCAUAAUUAAUAUUUCACAAAAUUCUUAAGAUGGAGGCGACUGCCAUCUGUCUAGACAAAUUUAUGUUAGGCGAAAAAUAUACCCCUAGGCAAUAAGAAGAAUAUAUCUGUUUUUUUUUUUUUGGCACUUUCUAGAUAAAAAUGUUUUGGGGAUUUUUGGGCCUUGAAUUUUUUUAACCAGGACUUUUUAGUAUAAGAUUUAAAUAGCUGUUUUUAGACUUAGACAGGAAAAAGGAAAUCCUUGAGCAGUAUCCAGAAUGACACUAGGUAUUUUCAAAACAAAAAUAUAUUUAGUGCUCUAGAAUCAUCACUUUUUCACUUCCAUACAAAUAUUGAAUUGGAUUUAGUCCGUUGGAUUUACGUGGAUCCAGUUGAUCGUGGCGGCCUUGAGAAAUUCGAGGCAAAUUCUGAAUUCAUUAUUCCUGUUCCUAAUAUGGGCCGGGUCGAACGAGUUGUCGGUAAAUUCAAGACUGCAGAUAUUCAAUUCUUCGACAGCAUCAUCAACCUGGCCAAGGAUAUUGUCAAAAUCAUAGUUAACAAAGCUUCUUCUUACCAAUUUGAGGUAGCUGAUGGCAUCGUUGUAAUUCUUGGAGCAUGACAGAUACUUGUUUUUCAAGUUUUUGUCUUUGGAUCUGUUGUAAAGCCGAUCAAGUUUGUCGUGGAUUUCAUCGGCUUUUUCUUCUACCGGGUCGAGUGCGAUAAUAGCCGCGCGUAAGAUACUCGUUUCAUUGAAUCUGUUGGCCUUGUCUUUGAUGAAGUUCCAGCACACUUGUGCAUCAUUUGUCUGGGAGCAGAGUUCUUGUAGGUAGUUUUCGAGUUGUGGUUUCGUCCAGUAAUCCCAAUCACCCAAUGAAGAGGGAACUGCAAUUGCGAAAACAAGAGCAAUGAAGAUUAUUCUGUGCAAAUAGUUACGUGCAAUAGGAGCCAAUUCUAGUAUUAGGGCGCCGUCGAAUCUGUUGAGCUGGGGUUUGAUGAUGUACCAGCACUCUUUUGUUUUAUUGGUAUUGGAGCACACUUCUUUUAGGUAGUUUGCGAUUUCUGGUUUCCCCCAAGCGGUGCCAGGAGUCCAACUCCAACCCAAUGAAGAGGGAACUGCAAUUGCGAGAACAAGAGCAAUGAAAAUUAUUCUGUGCAAAAAGUCGAUUACGACACCAGCCACGCCUUUGAAAUCCGACUGGUUGAACCUGUUGAUCUCGGAUUUGACGAAGUACAAGCACUCUUUUGUUCUAUUUGUCUGGGAGCAGAGAUUUCUUAGGUCUUUCUCGAUCUCUGAUUUCUCUCUGCGACCCAAUGAAGAGGGAACUGCAAUUGCGAGUACAAGAGCAAUGAAGAUUAUUCUGUGCAAAUAGUAAGCCAUUUUUUUUUCUUUCUUCUUUUUAUGGAAUGAAUUACUUCUUCAAAUGCCUUGUUUAUAUAGCAGCAAGUGCCAUUAAUUCUCUUGAAGAUAUUUAAUGCUUCCAUGUCUUCAGUUUUGAAUUCAUUAAGUAUGGUACUUGUAUUUAAUUCUA
Erythranthe guttata (spotted monkey flower) is the source of this 1784-nucleotide non-coding RNA. The record is from RefSeq and is a predicted model, not a curated record. Lineage: Eukaryota; Viridiplantae; Streptophyta; Magnoliopsida; Lamiales; Phrymaceae.